RNAcentral lists this long non-coding RNA (1684 nucleotides) under Triticum aestivum (bread wheat). Its description in RNAcentral is "long non-coding RNA (TAES_LNC007776)". The record is from RNAcentral. Lineage: Eukaryota; Viridiplantae; Streptophyta; Magnoliopsida; Poales; Poaceae.
AUAAUCCGGCGAUGAACGGCGAGAUGAUGAUGCGGCCUCCCAUGCCUGCGCCGUACCAGGUGUGGGCGGCGGCGCUGGCGCAGCAGCAGCAGCAGCAGCAGCUCCCGCCGGUGGCCGUGGCGGAGGCGCCGCCGGCGGGGUUCAAGCCGGCGAGGCCCGCGUGGAAGCGGGCGGCGCGGCAGCAGCCCGGGUGGAAGCAGCGCAAGGCCGCGGCCCAGGCGCAGGGGAGGUGGGGCGGGUCGGCGGCGCCGCGCAACACGACGUCGUACCUGAUCCGGGCCAAGCGGGCCGGGGGCGUGGCGUCGCUGGUGUCGCCGUGCCCCGUGACGCCCGCCGUGCUGCCGACGCCGCGGCUGUCGCCGGCGCGGGAGGUGCUGGUGGAGAUGGCCAAGGAGGCGUGGGGCGUCGACGGGUACGGCUCUAUGAAGGGCCUCAUCCGCCUCCGCCCCCAGGCCGCCGGCCCCGACGCCGGCGACGGCGACGGCGCUGACUCGGGCUCCGGCGAGAGCGACGUGGAGGAGCACGUGGAGGUGGAGCGCCGCCUCGACCACGACCUCAGCCGCUUCGAGAUGGUGCAGCUCCCCGCCGCGCCCGCCGGCGAGGACGACGAGGACGAGGACGCCCGCGCGGCCCGGCUGGAGGAGGAGAACCUGACCCUCCGCGCGCGGCUCUUCCUGGUGGAGCGCGACAUGGCCGACCUCCGCCGCCGCCUCGUCGCCGUCGAGUCCCUCUGCCGCGACCGCCACCGCGACGGCUGCGUCGUCGACGCCGCCCUGCCGCCCCCCUCCAACAGCGACGAGGCGGACGCCACCGAGGACGCCAUGGUACUCUGACGUGGCCGCCGCCGCCCCUGGCCGGCCGCCCGCACCGUGCCCUGUACAUAGUUCACCGUCCCUUCCUCCUCCUCCCCUCUGUGCAGGUGUCAACAGACAGACAGAUGUGAAUGAAGAGUAGCCAGCAGCAUCAGCAUCAGCAUCAGAAGCAGCAGUUCAAUUAGCAUCCCAGAACCAGUCAUCACUCUUCCUCCCUUCCCUCCUUGAAUCCCCAUAGCAGUUCGAUCUGUAGUUGUGUCAUCAGGUAGCCAGGUCCAUUCCAUGUCCAUGUCCUCGUAGCAGCAUUAGGAGUCAACCAAACCAAUCCAAGCAAGCAAUGUGUUCAUGUAGAUGUAUUAGCGGUUAAUCGGCGUCAAUGGCGGGCACCGGCGAAGAAGACGCGGGGCGUUCCUCUAGAUCCAGUGCCUACCAAAGUCGGCAUACAACUCCAGUCAUUAGUCAGUACUAGCAGUAGCAUUUGUUGUGAUUCUGAACAUAUUGUUGCUCCAUUAUUGCAUUCUGCAUUCUGUACCAUUCUGUGCGCGUCCAUGCUCACCAGAUGCUUGGCCAUUGGCAGGGAGGGGACAGGCAGCGGCGGCGAGACCCAUGGAUGAUGGAUCCAGCAGCCGUGGGAGUUUUAUACUACUAUACUACUAUAUUUUUUUGUUUUAUUUUAUUUAGUUUUUGCUGUGCUUGCGUGCGUGUGUGCGUGCGGUUUUGGCGAGACGUGGCGUGACCAGUGGGACUCGCUCCUGUGGACGCGGGGGUGGGGUGGGGUGGGGUGGUGGACGGUGCGUUGAGUGCGGCGCGGCUUGGUAGGUCGGUCAGGUCAGGUCCGGGCAACCUGAUUGCCAUUCUGAACUGGGUGGUGG